This 254-nucleotide ribosomal RNA is filed under the name uncultured bacterium. RNAcentral describes it as "partial 16S ribosomal RNA". It matches the Rfam family "Bacterial small subunit ribosomal RNA", at positions 524 to 776 of the family's 1533-position model. The record is from RNAcentral.
GACGAACCGUGCUAACGUUAUUCGGAAUUACUGGGCUUAAAGCGCGUGUAGGCGGAUCGGUGCGUCGGCGCCUGAAAUCCCCCGGCUCAACCGGGGAACGCGGCCCGAAACGACCGGUCUGGAGGGACGUAGGGGGGACUGGAACUUCCGGUGGAGCGGUGAAAUGCGUUGAGAUCGGAAGGAACGCCCGUGGCGAAAGCGAGUCCCUGGACGUCUGCUGACGCUGAGACGCGAAAGCCAGGGGAGCGAACGGG